GACGAACCGUGCGAACGUUAUUCGGAAUCACUGGGCUUAAAGCGCGUGUAGGCGGGCCGGUGCGUCGGUCGCUGAAAUCCCCCGGCUCAACCGGGGAAGCGGCGCCGAGACGACCGGCCUCGAGGGACGUAGGGGGAGCUGGAACUUCCGGUGGAGCGGUGAAAUGCGUUGAGAUCGGAAGGAACGCCCGUGGCGAAAGCGAGCUCCUGGACGUUUUCUGACGCUGAGACGCGAAAGCCAGGGGAGCGAACGG
Molecule: ribosomal RNA, 253 nt
Filed under: uncultured bacterium
Lineage: Bacteria
Description: partial 16S ribosomal RNA
Rfam family: Bacterial small subunit ribosomal RNA
Source: RNAcentral